This 249-nucleotide ribosomal RNA is filed under the name uncultured bacterium. RNAcentral's name for it is "partial 16S ribosomal RNA". It matches the Rfam family "Bacterial small subunit ribosomal RNA", at positions 90 to 339 of the family's 1533-position model. The record is from RNAcentral.
ACUUAGUGGCGGACGGGUGAGUAACACGUGAGUAACCUGCCUUUCAGAGUGGAAUAACGUUUGGAAACGAACGCUAAUACCGCAUAACGUGAGGGGAUGGCAUCAUUCCCUUACCAAAGAUUUAUCGCUGAAAGAUGGGCUCGCGGCCGAUUAGGUAGUUGGUGAGAUAAUAGCCCACCAAGCCGACGAUCGGUAGCCGGACUGAGAGGUUGAACGGCCACAUUGGGACUGAGACACGGUCCAGACUCC